RNAcentral lists this transfer-messenger RNA (348 nucleotides) under Oenococcus kitaharae. Its description in RNAcentral is "Standard tmRNA". It matches the Rfam family "transfer-messenger RNA". From Rfam's summary of the family: Bacterial tmRNA, also known as 10Sa RNA or SsrA, is named for its dual tRNA and mRNA-like properties. Its role is to liberate the mRNA from a stalled ribosome. RNAcentral also lists the same sequence under 1 other name. The record is from RNAcentral. Lineage: Bacteria; Bacillati; Bacillota; Bacilli; Lactobacillales; Lactobacillaceae.
GGGGUAGUUCCGGAAUUCGACAGGUUAUUACAAACAUGGACGGCGUUUCCGUUUGUCGGGUCAUAGACUGCAGAAAUAACUGCAAAAAAUAAUGAACCAUCUUACGCAUUAGCUGCUUGAUCGCAGUCGCGUAGCCCUUUGUUGAGUCCACGGCAACAUUUUCGGCUUGAUAGUGGAUCUGCUGACAAGGUUUCUGUUCGGAGCCGACUUGGUGAAAACGAAUCGAACUAGUCUUUUAUCUAGAAGUUAGCAACUUGAUCUAAGGCGAAUUUGCUUGUUAACUAUAAGCGUAGAUGUUUAUGUGAUUGAAUAAUUUGGACAUGGGUUCGACUCCCAUCUACUCCAUUG